AUUGAACGCUGGCGGCAGGCCUAACACAUGCAAGUAGAGCGGAGCGGCGGACGGGUGAGUAAUGCCUAGGAAUCUGCAUGGUAGUGGGGGAUAACGUCCGGAAAAGGGCGCUAAUACUGCAUGCUAUAAAAUGAGCCUCGGUCGGAGUAGCUAGGUGGUGGGGAAAAGGACUACCAAGGCGAAGAUCCGUAACUGGUAUGAGAGGAUGAUCAGUCACACUGUGACUGAGACACGGUCCAGACUCCUACGGGAGGCAGCAGUGGGGAAUAUUGGACAAUGGGCGAAAGCCUGAUCCAGCCAUGCCGCGUGUGUGAAGAAGGUCUUCGGAUUGUAAAGCACUUUAAGUUGGGAGGCGUUACCAACAGAAUAAGCACCGGCUAACGUCGUGCCAGCAGCCGCGGUAAUAC
RNAcentral lists this ribosomal RNA (407 nucleotides) under uncultured bacterium. RNAcentral describes it as "partial 16S ribosomal RNA". It matches the Rfam family "Bacterial small subunit ribosomal RNA", at positions 30 to 526 of the family's 1533-position model. The record is from RNAcentral.